This 566-nucleotide ribosomal RNA is filed under the name Austropaxillus sp. PDD 105057. RNAcentral describes it as "eukaryotic LSU rRNA". It matches the Rfam family "Eukaryotic large subunit ribosomal RNA", at positions 70 to 606 of the family's 3401-position model. The record is from RNAcentral. Lineage: Eukaryota; Fungi; Basidiomycota; Agaricomycetes; Boletales; Serpulaceae.
AAGGAUUCCCCUAGUAACUGCGAGUGAACCGGGAAGAGCUCAAAUUUUGAAUCUGGCGGUCUUUUGGCCGUCCGAAUUGUAAUCUAGAGAAGCGUUUUCCGCGCUGGACCGUGUACAAGUCUCCUGGAAGGGAGCGUCAUAGAGGGUGAUAAUCCCGUCUUUGACACGGACUACCAGGGCUAUGUGAUGCGCUCUCGACGAGUCGAGUUGUUUGGGAAUGCAGCUCAAAUUGGGUGGUAAAUUCCAUCUAAAGCUAAAUACAGGCGAGAGACCGAUAGCGAACAAGUACCGUGAGGGAAAGAUGAAAAGAACUUUGGAAAGAGAGUUAAACAGUACGUGAAAUUGCUGAAAGGGAAACGCUUCAAGUCAGUCGCGUUAGCUGGGGAUCAGCCUUGCAAUCUUGCUGGGUGCACUUCCUGGUUGACGGGUCAGCAUCAAUUUUGACCGUUGGAGAAGGGUCGAGGGAAUGUGGCAUCCUUCGGGGUGUGUUAUAGCCUUUGAUCGCAUGCAACGGUUGGGAUUGAGGAACUCGGCACGGCCCCUCCUGGGCUCCGGGCUUCCGGCUA